Molecule: ribosomal RNA, 574 nt
Filed under: uncultured bacterium
Lineage: Bacteria
Description: bacterial SSU rRNA
Rfam family: Bacterial small subunit ribosomal RNA
Source: RNAcentral
CCUACGGGAGGCAGCAGUGAGGAAUUUUGCGCAAUGGGGGAAACCCUGACGCAGCGACGCCGCGUGGAGGAUGACGGCCUUCGGGUCUUAAACUCCUGUCAGAGGUGAAGAAUCCCCGCAAGGGGUUGACGGUAACCUCAAAGGAAGCCCCGGCUAACUACGUGCCAGCAGCCGCGGUAAGACGUAGGGGGCAAACGUUACUCGGAAUUACUGGGCGUAAAGGGUGUGUAGGCGGCUGGGUAAGUUAAAGAUGAAAUCCCGAGGCUUAACUUCGGAAUUGUCUUUGAAACUGCCCGGCUUGAGGGUAGUCGAGGAGAAUGGAAUUCCCGGUGGAGCGGUGAAAUGCGUAGAUAUCCGGAGGAACACCAGUGGCGAAGGCGGCCUCCUGGUCUGUCCCUGACGCUCAGACGCGAAAGCUAGGGGAGCAAACGGGAUUAGAAACCCCGGUAGUCCUAGCAGUAAACGAUGUGGACUUGGCGUUGGUGGGGUAAAAUCCAUCAGUGCCGGAGCUAACGCGGUAAGUCCACCGCCUGGGGACUACGGCCGCAAGGUUAAAACUCAAAGGAAUUGACGG